Molecule: ribosomal RNA, 675 nt
Filed under: Lactobacillus acidophilus
Lineage: Bacteria; Bacillati; Bacillota; Bacilli; Lactobacillales; Lactobacillaceae
Description: bacterial SSU rRNA
Rfam family: Bacterial small subunit ribosomal RNA
Source: RNAcentral
GCAGUCGAGCGAGCUGAACCAACAGAUUCACUUCGGUGAUGACGUUGGGAACGCGAGCGGCGGAUGGGUGAGUAACACGUGGGGAACCUGCCCCAUAGUCUGGGAUACCACUUGGAAACAGGUGCUAAUACCGGAUAAGAAAGCAGAUCGCAUGAUCAGCUUAUAAAAGGCGGCGUAAGCUGUCGCUAUGGGAUGGCCCCGCGGUGCAUUAGCUAGUUGGUAGGGUAACGGCCUACCAAGGCAAUGAUGCAUAGCCGAGUUGAGAGACUGAUCGGCCACAUUGGGACUGAGACACGGCCCAAACUCCUACGGGAGGCAGCAGUAGGGAAUCUUCCACAAUGGACGAAAGUCUGAUGGAGCAACGCCGCGUGAGUGAAGAAGGUUUUCGGAUCGUAAAGCUCUGUUGUUGGUGAAGAAGGAUAGAGGUAGUAACUGGCCUUUAUUUGACGGUAAUCAACCAGAAAGUCACGGCUAACUACGUGCCAGCAGCCGCGGUAAUACGUAGGUGGCAAGCGUUGUCCGGAUUUAUUGGGCGUAAAGCGAGCGCAGGCGGAAGAAUAAGUCUGAUGUGAAAGCCCUCGGCUUAACCGAGGAACUGCAUCGGAAACUGUUUUUCUUGAGUGCAGAAGAGGAGAGUGGAACUCCAUGUGUAGCGGUGGAAUGCGUAGAUAUAUG